RNAcentral lists this ribosomal RNA (380 nucleotides) under uncultured eukaryote. RNAcentral describes it as "partial 18S ribosomal RNA". It matches the Rfam family "Eukaryotic small subunit ribosomal RNA", at positions 592 to 976 of the family's 1831-position model. The record is from RNAcentral.
UGUAAGCGUAUAUUAAAGUUGUUGCGGUUAAAAAGCUCGUAGUUGGAUUUCUGUUGGGAACGACCGGUCCGCCCAUUGGGUGUGUAUCUGGCUUGUUCUCGGCAUCUUCUUGGUGAACGUUGCUGCACUUGACUGUGUGGAGCGCUACCCAGGACUUUUACUUUGAGGAAAUUAGAGUGUUUCAAGCAGGCAUAUGCCUUGAAUACAUUAGCAUGGAAUAAUAAGAUAGGACCUCGGUUCUAUUUUGUUGGUUUCUAGAGCUGAGGUAAUGAUUAAUAGGGAUAGUUGGGGGCAUUCGUAUUUAACUGUCAGAGGUGAAAUUCUUGGAUUUGUUAAAGGCGGACUACUGCGAAAGCAUUUGCCAAGGAUGUUUUCAUUGA